AUAAGCAGAUACGAUACAUUAUAAAGGCACAACGAAAGUUUUAUAAGUGACGCAUGUGCAUAUAUGAUUAUUUCUCUGUGAGAAAAAUAGAGUGGCAUAGGGAAUAUACUCUUUUGAUCUUUUUUCUGUAGAUUCUUCUAUAUUUAAGGAGAAUAUAAUUUUUAAAAUUUCUUAGAAAUUCCGAUCCUAUGUCCGAGUAAUUAAUACAAUGAAAUAAAAGCACUUUCUCUAUGAACCUGUUGAUAUUAAUAUCAAUCAAGAAAUAUUAACAUCUUGUUAAAUAAUUUCUGCAAAAAAGAAAUAUAAUACUUUUGAAAAAAUGGAACCCAUAAAACCCAUGAAGUUAAUGGUACGUUCGUUAGCAUCAUUUGUAAUCCUUGCAAGUGUAAUACACUCUGUUUGGUAUCUUUUUCGAGAAAAAUAUGU
Vespa mandarinia (Asian giant hornet) is the source of this 426-nucleotide long non-coding RNA. Lineage: Eukaryota; Metazoa; Arthropoda; Insecta; Hymenoptera; Vespidae. The record is from RefSeq and is a predicted model, not a curated record.